GAAAUGCGAUAAGUAGUGUGAAUUGCAGAAUUCAGUGAAUCAUCGAAUCUUUGAACGCACAUUGCGCCCUUUGGCAUUCCGAAGGGCAUACCUGUUCGAGCGUCAGUUGCACAACUCAAGCACAGCUUGGUGAUGGGCGCCUGUCUCCCCGCGCUUUGCGGCGGGACUCGCCUGAAAAGCAUCGGCGUCCGGCGGCGUCGACCCGAUGAGCCCGAGCGUAUGGGGACUUUUGUCACACGUUCGCGGUGCGGACCGGCGCCUGCUUUGACUUUUAAUUUCUAGGUUGACCUCGGAUCAGGUAGGGAUACCCGCUGAACUUAAGC
Molecule: unclassified non-coding RNA, 323 nt
Filed under: plant metagenome
Description: partial contains 5.8S ribosomal RNA, internal transcribed spacer 2, and large subunit ribosomal RNA
Rfam family: 5.8S ribosomal RNA (bases 1-105)
Source: RNAcentral